UAAUGUAUACUAAUCUGCCCUACACUAGAGGACAACAGUUGGAAACGACUGCUAAUACUCUAUACACCUCUCUAGCAUAAGUUAGAUAGGGAAAGUUUUUCGGUGUAGGAUGAGGCUAUAUUGUAUCAGCUAGUUGGUGAGGUAAUGGCUCACCAAGGCUAUGACGCAUAACUGGUCUGAGAGGAUGAUCAGUCACACUGGAACUGAGACACGGUCCAGACUCCUACGGGAGGCAGCAGUAGGGAAUAUUGCUCAAUGGGGGAAACCCUGAAGCAGCAACGCCGCGUGGAGGAUGACACUCUUCGGAGCGUAAACUCCUUUUGUUAGGGAAGAACAAUGACGGUACCUAACGAAUAAGCACCGGCUAACUCCGUGCCAGCAGCCGCGGUAAUACGGAGGGUGCAAGCGUUACUCGGAAUCACUGGGCGUAAAGGACGCGUAGGCGGAUUAUCAAGUCUCUUGUGAAAUCCUAUGGCUUAACCAUAGAACUGCUUGGGAAACUGAUAAUCUAGAGUGAGGGAGAGGCAGAUGGAAUUGGUGGUGUAGGGGUAAAAUC
RNAcentral lists this ribosomal RNA (556 nucleotides) under uncultured Campylobacterota bacterium. Its description in RNAcentral is "bacterial SSU rRNA". It matches the Rfam family "Bacterial small subunit ribosomal RNA", at positions 111 to 688 of the family's 1533-position model. The record is from RNAcentral. Lineage: Bacteria; Pseudomonadati; Campylobacterota.